UAGGUUCUACCAACUCGUUAUAUCUUCCUUGUAGGACUGAAGGAUUACAGGCUCGGCCUAACAAUAUUCUCACAAAGUUUGACCUCAAAUCAGGUAGGACUACCCGCUGAACUUAAGCAUAUCAAUAAGCGGAGGAAAAGAAACCAACAGGGAUUGCCUCAGUAACGGCGAGUGAAGCGGCAAAAGCUCAAAUUUGAAAUCUUAGUACCUUUGGUGCUCGAGUUGUAAUUUGAAGAUAUUUCUUUGGAGUUGGCCCUUGUCUAUGUUCCUUGGAACAGGACGUCAUAGAGGGUGAGAAUCCCGUCUGAUGGGGUGUCCAACUCUUUGUAAAGUUUUAUCGAAGAGUCGAGUUGUUUGGGAAUGCAGCUCUAAGUGGGUGGUAAAUUCCAUCUAAAGCUAAAUAUUGGCGAGAGACCGAUAGCGAACAAGUACAGUGAUGGAAAGAUGAAAAGAACUUUGAAAAGAGAGUGAAAAAGUACGUGAAAUUGUUGAAAGGGAAGGAUAUUAGAUCAGACUUGGUGUUUUACGAUUAUCUUCCCUUCUUGGGUUGUGCACUCGUGCUACACUGGGCCAGCAUCGAUUCGGACGGUAAGAUAAUGACUUAGGAACGUGGCACUCCUUCGGGGGUGUGUUAUAGCCUGUGUUGAUGUUGCCUGUCUGGAUCGAGGACUGCGUCUUUUGACUAGGAUGUUGGCGUAAUGAUCUAAUAUCGCCCGUCUUGAAACACGGACCAAGGAGUCUAACGUCUAUGCGAGUGUUUGGGUGUAAAACCCGUA
This 776-nucleotide ribosomal RNA is filed under the name Wickerhamomyces silvicola. Its description in RNAcentral is "LSU rRNA". The stretch from base 80 to 776 matches the Rfam family "Eukaryotic large subunit ribosomal RNA", at positions 1 to 712 of the family's 3401-position model. Lineage: Eukaryota; Fungi; Ascomycota; Saccharomycetes; Phaffomycetales; Wickerhamomycetaceae. The record is from RNAcentral.